UUCAAAGGAAAUGUAGAAUCUUCUAAUAUAGUUCAACAGUCAUCUCUUUGACCAUGUUCCCAGUGGAGAGUAAUUGAUCACCUGAAACAACGAACAGAUGGCAAAUCCUGUGGAAAGAGGGAAUAAAUUUUUAAGAAAAUACCAUUAUGUAUUUACUACACAAAUAUUACAUUUACCUCUGGUACAACUAUACCCUCCUCAGAGCACCAUAUGAGUACCAAGACAUCUGGAUCCGUUCCAAGUCGCUUUAAUUUGGAGUUGAACUGGGGCUUCAUUCUCAAAGCAAAGCGAACCAAGAGCACUCUGAAAACAUCAACAUCACUUCCAGAAUUUGUUUA
This is a long non-coding RNA of Apodemus sylvaticus (European woodmouse), 338 nucleotides long. RefSeq lists it as uncharacterized. NCBI's taxonomy places the organism in Eukaryota, Metazoa, Chordata, Mammalia, Rodentia, Muridae. The transcript is spliced from 3 exons. The record is from RefSeq and is a predicted model, not a curated record.